UGCAAGUCGAACGAUGAUGCCCAGCUUGCUGGGCGGAUUAGUGGCGAACGGGUGAGUAAUACGUGAGUAACCUGCCCUUGACUCUGGGAUAAGCCUGGGAAACUGGGUCUAAUACUGGAUACUACCGUCCACCGCAUGGUGGGUGGUGGAAAGGGUUUUACUGGUUUUGGAUGGGCUCACGGCCUAUCAGCUUGUUGGUGGGGUAAUGGCUCACCAAGGCGACGACGGGUAGCCGGCCUGAGAGGGUGACCGGCCACACUGGGACUGAGACACGGCCCAGACUCCUACGGGAGGCAGCAGUGGGGAAUAUUGCACAAUGGGCGGAAGCCUGAUGCAGCGACGCCGCGUGAGGGAUGACGGCCUUCGGGUUGUAAACCUCUUUCAGUAGGGAAGAAGCGAGAGUGACGGUACCUGCAGAAGAAGCGCCGGCUAACUACGUGCCAGCAGCCGCGGUAAUACGUAGGGCGCAAGCGUUGUCCGGAAUUAUUGGGCGUAAAGAGCUCGUAGGCGGUUUGUCGCGUCUGCUGUGAAAGCCCGGGGCUCAACCCCGGGUCUGCAGUGGGUACGGGCAGACUAGAGUGCAGUAGGGGAGACUGGAAUUCCUGGUGUAGCGGUGAAAUGCGCAGAUAUCAGGAGGAACACCGAUGGCGAAGGCAGGUCUCUGGGCUGUUACUGACGCUGAGGAGCGAAAGCAUGGGGAGCGAACAGGAUUAGAUACCCUGGUAGUCCAUGCCGUAAACGUUGGGCACUAGGUGUGGGGGACAUUCCACGUUUUCCGCGCCGUAGCUAACGCAUUAAGUGCCCCGCCUGGGGAGUACGGCCGCAAGGCUAAAACUCAAAGGAAUUGACGGGGGGCCCGCACAAGCGGCGGAGCAUGCGGAUUAAUUCGAUGCAACGCGAAGAACCCUUACCAAGGCUUGACAUUCACCGGGACCGCCCC
Molecule: ribosomal RNA, 940 nt
Filed under: Kocuria rosea subsp. polaris
Lineage: Bacteria; Bacillati; Actinomycetota; Actinomycetes; Micrococcales; Micrococcaceae
Description: bacterial SSU rRNA
Rfam family: Bacterial small subunit ribosomal RNA
Source: RNAcentral